This 513-nucleotide ribosomal RNA is filed under the name uncultured Streptococcus sp. RNAcentral describes it as "partial 16S ribosomal RNA". It matches the Rfam family "Bacterial small subunit ribosomal RNA", at positions 28 to 399 of the family's 1533-position model. Lineage: Bacteria; Bacillati; Bacillota; Bacilli; Lactobacillales; Streptococcaceae. The record is from RNAcentral.
GACGAACGCUGGCGGCGUGCUUAACACAUGCAAGUCGAACGCUGAAGCCCAGCUUGCUGGGUGGAUGAGUGGCGAACGGGUGAGUAACACGUGAGUAACCUGCCCCCUUCUUUGGGAUAACGCCCGGAAACGGGUGCUAAUACUGGAUAUUCACUGGCUUUCGCAUGGGGGUUGGUGGAAAGGUUUUUUCUGGUGGGGGAUGGGCUCGCGGCCUAUCAGCUUGUUUGCGGGGUGAUGGCCUACCCAGGCUUUGACCGCGGGUGCGGGUGCGAGGUUGACCGGUGCUUCUUUACCCGCUACCCUCACCAAAACCCAUACCGGAGGCUGGAUUUUUUUUUUUUUGAGGUUUACACCCAAAAGGGAUUCUUCCCUCCCCCGUGAUGGCUGCCUGCGUUUUUCCCCCAUUCUUAAUUCUCCCCUGCUGCGCCCUCAACUAAGGGGUUGGGGCGGUAUUUGAGUCUUAAGAUAACCGGCCCCCCUCUCAGGCGGGCCGCCACCCAAUAGCCCUUGUUG